AGUUUGAUCCUGGCUCAGGACGAACGCUGGCGGCGUGCUUAACACAUGCAAGUCGAACGGGGUCAGAAGAGGAGUAAUCUUGUUCUGACCAAGUGGCGGACGGGUGAGUAACGCGUGAACAAUCUGUCCCGAAGCGGGGGAUAACAACCGGAAACGGGUGCUAAUACCGCAUAGGACCACGGAGCCGCAUGGCUCUGAGGUGAAAGGAGCAAUCCACUUUGGGGUGAGUUCGCGUCCCAUUAGAUAGUUGGUGGGGUAGAGGCCUACCAAGUCAACGAUGGGUAGCCGAUCUGAGAGGAUGACCGGCCACACUGGAACUGAGAAACGGUCCAGACUCCUACGGGAGGCAGCAGUGGGGAAUAUUGGGCAAUGGGCGAAAGCCUGACCCAGCAACGCCGCGUGAGGGAAGAAGGCCUUCGGGUCGUAAACCUCUGUCGCAGGGGACGAGAAGAAGACGGUACCCUGCAAGGAAGCCCCGGCUAACUACGUGCCAGCAGCCGCGGUAAUACGUAGGGGGCAAGCGUUGUCCGGAAUAACUGGGCGUAAAGGGCGCGUAGGCGGCCGAGUAAGUUUGGAGUGAAAGUCCCGCUUUCAAGGUGGGAAUUGCUUUGAAAACUGCAUGGCUAGAGUAUGGGAGAGGAUAGCGGAAUUCCCGGUGUAGCGGUGAAAUGCGUAGAGAUCGGGAGGAACACCAGUGGCGAAGGCGGCUAUCUGGACCAAAACUGACGCUGAGGCGCGAAAGCGUGGGUAGCAAACAGGAUUAGAUACCCUGGUAGUCCACGCUGUAAACGAUGGAUGCUAGGUGUAGGAGGUAUCGACCCCUUCUGUGCCGGAGUAAACACAAUAAGCAUCCCGCCUGGGGAGUACGGCCGCAAGGUUGAAACUCAAAUGAAUUGACGG
RNAcentral lists this ribosomal RNA (900 nucleotides) under uncultured bacterium. RNAcentral describes it as "bacterial SSU rRNA". It matches the Rfam family "Bacterial small subunit ribosomal RNA", at positions 10 to 916 of the family's 1533-position model. The record is from RNAcentral.